Cebus imitator (Panamanian white-faced capuchin) is the source of this 551-nucleotide long non-coding RNA. RefSeq lists it as uncharacterized. Lineage: Eukaryota; Metazoa; Chordata; Mammalia; Primates; Cebidae. The transcript is spliced from 2 exons. The record is from RefSeq and is a predicted model, not a curated record.
CUCUGGAGAGUUUGCAACCAUUAAAAUAUUCAGCGAGCCCACAGUAAAAAGAGCAAAGCUGAUCGGGCUGUUAGAACAAAACAUCACAGACUGGGUGGCUUAUAAACAACAAAAAUUUAUUUCUUAUAGUCUGGAGGCUGGAACUCCAAGAUCAAGGCUCCAGCAGAUCUGAUGCCUGGCCUUAUUUCUACAGAAUUCAACUGCUGUGAGGUCCCUGGCGAAGCUGGUGGAAGAGAACCUUCUGUACGUGCCUGGGGAGAGGCCUUAAAUAAUCCUGCUGACCACCCCGCACAUCAACAUGUUUUGGAUGAUGCCACCUGCUCAGCAGGCAUAGUGGAGUGGAGUGUCUUUGAGAUCCCUUUUCACUGGGGGAUGGUUUUGUUGAUGACACAACAUUACUAAUCAAGCAAAUGGGAACCAUGAUACAAUAUUAUUUUGUUAGCUAACCACCAUAGUCCGGUCAGAUUUUUUUUAGGCCUUUCUUACUCCAUUUGUCCAUUUCCUUUGUGAUGCAUAGUUUUGAAAGUAAAUAGAAGUUACUUGUGUUAAAA